GCAAGUCGAACGCGAAAGAUUUCCUUCGGGAGAUUAAGUAGAGUGGCGGACGGGUGAGUAACGCGUAGGUAUCUGCCUUUAAGUGGGGGAUAGCCCGAAGAAAUUCGGAUUAAUACCGCAUGUGGAACUUCGGUUCUAAAGAUGGCCUCUGUUUCAAGCUAUCGCUUAGAGAUGAGCCUGCGUCCUAUUAGCUAGUUGGUAAGGUAAUGGCUUACCAAGGCGAUGAUAGGUAGGCGGCUUUAACGAGUGGUC
RNAcentral lists this ribosomal RNA (252 nucleotides) under uncultured bacterium. RNAcentral's name for it is "partial 16S ribosomal RNA". It matches the Rfam family "Bacterial small subunit ribosomal RNA", at positions 57 to 305 of the family's 1533-position model. The record is from RNAcentral.